Molecule: ribosomal RNA, 2892 nt
Filed under: Acinetobacter baumannii
Lineage: Bacteria; Pseudomonadati; Pseudomonadota; Gammaproteobacteria; Moraxellales; Moraxellaceae
Description: 23S ribosomal RNA
Rfam family: Bacterial large subunit ribosomal RNA
Source: RNAcentral
AGUCAAGUAAUUAAGUGCAUGUGGUGGAUGCCUUGGCAGUCAGAGGCGAUGAAAGACGUGAUAGCCUGCGAAAAGCUCCGGGGAGGCGGCAAAUAUCCUUUGAUCCGGAGAUGUCUGAAUGGGGGAACCCACCUACUUUAAGGUAGGUAUUGCAACAUGAAUACAUAGUGUUGCAAGGCGAACGAGGGGAAGUGAAACAUCUCAGUACCCUUAGGAAAAGAAAUCAAUUGAGAUUCCCUCAGUAGCGGCGAGCGAACGGGGAUCAGCCCAUUAAGUUAUGUGUUUUUAGUGGAACGCUCUGGGAAGUGCGAACGUAGAGGGUGAUAUUCCCGUACACGAAAGGGCACACAUAAUGAUGACGAGUAGGGCGAGGCACGUGAAACCUUGUCUGAAUAUGGGGGGACCAUCCUCCAAGGCUAAAUACUCCUGACUGACCGAUAGUGAACCAGUACCGUGAGGGAAAGGCGAAAAGAACCCCUGUGAGGGGAGUGAAAUAGAUCCUGAAACCGCAUGCAUACAAGCAGUGGGAGCACCUUCGUGGUGUGACUGCGUACCUUUUGUAUAAUGGGUCAGCGACUUAUAUUCAGUAGCGAGGUUAACCGUAUAGGGGAGCCGUAGAGAAAUCGAGUCUUAAUAGGGCGUUUAGUUGCUGGGUAUAGACCCGAAACCAGGCGAUCUAUCCAUGAGCAGGUUGAAGGUUGGGUAACACUAACUGGAGGACCGAACCCACUGUCGUUGAAAAGCCAGGGGAUGACUUGUGGAUAGGGGUGAAAGGCUAAUCAAGCCUGGUGAUAGCUGGUUCUCCCCGAAAGCUAUUUAGGUAGCGCCUCGGACGAAUACCAUAGGGGGUAGAGCACUGUUUCGGCUAGGGGGUCAUCCCGACUUACCAAACCGAUGCAAACUCCGAAUACCUAUGAGUACUAUCCGGGAGACAGACUGCGGGUGCUAACGUCCGUAGUCAAGAGGAAAACAAUCCAGACCGCCAGCUAAGGCCCCAAAAUCAUAGUUAAGUGGGAAACGAUGUGGGAAGGCAUAGACAGCUAGGAGGUUGGCUUAGAAGCAGCCACCCUUUAAAGAAAGCGUAAUAGCUCACUAGUCGAGUCGGCCUGCGCGGAAGAUGUAACGGGGCUAAAACUAUGUGCCGAAGCUGCGGAUGUAUACUUUGUAUAAGUGGUAGGGGAGCGUUCUGUAAGCCGAUGAAGGUGUGUUGAGAAGCAUGCUGGAGGUAUCAGAAGUGCGAAUGCUGACGUGAGUAACGACAAAACGGGUGAAAAACCCGUUCGCCGAAAGACCAAGGGUUCCAGUCCAACGUUAAUCGGGGCUGGGUGAGUCGACCCCUAAGGCGAGGCCGAAAGGCGUAGUCGAUGGGAAAAUGGUUAAUAUUCCAUUACUUCUGUGUAAUGCGAUGAGAGGACGGAGAAGGCUAAAUCAGCCUGGCGUUGGUUGUCCAGGUGAAAGGAUGUAGGCAUGUAUCUUAGGCAAAUCCGGGGUACUCUAUGCUGAGAUCUGAUAGCAAGCUGUACUUGUACAGCGAAGUGGUUGAUGCCAUGCUUCCAGGAAAAGUCUCUAAGCUUCAGUUACACAGGAAUCGUACCCGAAACCGACACAGGUGGUCAGGUCGAGUAGACCAAGGCGCUUGAGAGAACUCUGCUGAAGGAACUAGGCAAAAUGGUACCGUAACUUCGGGAGAAGGUACGCUGUUGUUGGUGAUGGAACUCGCUUCCUGAGCUGACGACAGCCGCAGAAACCAGGCCGCUGCAACUGUUUAUUAAAAACAUAGCACUCUGCAAACACGAAAGUGGACGUAUAGGGUGUGAUGCCUGCCCGGUGCUGGAAGGUUAAUUGAUGGGGUUAGCGUAAGCGAAGCUCUUGAUCGAAGCCCCAGUAAACGGCGGCCGUAACUAUAACGGUCCUAAGGUAGCGAAAUUCCUUGUCGGGUAAGUUCCGACCUGCACGAAUGGCAUAAUGAUGGCGGCGCUGUCUCCAGCAGAGGCUCAGUGAAAUCGAAAUCGCUGUGAAGAUGCAGUGUACCCGCGGCUAGACGGAAAGACCCCGUGAACCUUUACUGCAGCUUGACACUGAACUUUGACCUUACUUGUGUAGGAUAGGUGGGAGGCUUUGAAGCUGGAACGCUAGUUCCAGUGGAGCCGUCCUUGAAAUACCACCCUGGUAAUGUUGAGGUUCUAACUCUGUCCCGUGAUCCGGGACGAGGACCGUGUCUGGUGGGUAGUUUGACUGGGGCGGUCUCCUCCUAAAGAGUAACGGAGGAGUACGAAGGUGCGCUCAGCGUGGUCGGAAAUCACGCGUAGAGUAUAAAGGCAAAAGCGCGCUUAACUGCGAGACCCACAAGUCGAGCAGGUACGAAAGUAGGUCUUAGUGAUCCGGUGGUUCUGUAUGGAAGGGCCAUCGCUCAACGGAUAAAAGGUACUCUGGGGAUAACAGGCUGAUACCGCCCAAGAGUUCAUAUCGACGGCGGUGUUUGGCACCUCGAUGUCGGCUCAUCUCAUCCUGGGGCUGAAGCAGGUCCCAAGGGUAUGGCUGUUCGCCAUUUAAAGAGGUACGCGAGCUGGGUUUAGAACGUCGUGAGACAGUUCGGUCCCUAUCUACCGUGGGCGCUGGAAAUUUGAGAGGAUCUGCUCCUAGUACGAGAGGACCAGAGUGGACGAACCUCUGGUGUACCGGUUGUGACGCCAGUCGCAUCGCCGGGUAGCUAUGUUCGGAAGGGAUAACCGCUGAAAGCAUCUAAGCGGGAAGCCUACCUCAAGAUAAGAUUUCCCUAGGACUUUAUGUCCUCUAAAGAGCCGUUCGAGACUAGGACGUUGAUAGGUUGGAUGUGGAAGCAUAGUGAUAUGUGAAGCUGACCAAUACUAAUUGCUCGUGAGGCUUGACUAU